ACAGCAUAGAUACUACAUACACACAUGGAUAUGAAACAGGAAGUCGGUAUCCAAUUAACUCUUUGAAGUUCAUCUGUAAACGUCAUAACCAGCAUAGCUCUAUCCUUGGCGCUUUUCUCUCUGUCUAUGUUUUUAAGAAUUUUCUUGACUCACUUAUUUUUGUGAAAGAAGGCCUCAUGUUUACAUGACAAAAUUAGAAGACCUCCAUUUUUCUUUGUAACCACCUUUUCUAGACUCUCGAACGGAGUUAGCUAGUAAGUCUUGGAAUCAUAAUAGUGUAUUGUUUGUUACAUGGACUGAACUAUUCUCGUGUCAAUGUAAUGAGAAAUGACUGAGAUAAUAGCCAAAAA
This 350-nucleotide long non-coding RNA is filed under the name Amphimedon queenslandica. Its description in RNAcentral is "uncharacterized LOC109590994". Lineage: Eukaryota; Metazoa; Porifera; Demospongiae; Haplosclerida; Niphatidae. The record is from RNAcentral.